CGUUAAAAAUUCCAUUCAUUUUUAUUGUUAAAAGCUAGUGCAACUAACAAAAUAACAAGGCAGGGACUAAUUUGCCGAUAUGCAAUAACUAAUUUUUAACAAUAAAAAUGAAUGUAAUUGUUAACC
Molecule: non-coding RNA, 126 nt
Organism: Gossypium hirsutum (cotton)
Lineage: Eukaryota; Viridiplantae; Streptophyta; Magnoliopsida; Malvales; Malvaceae
Source: Rfam